GACGAACGCUGGCGGCGUGCCUAACACAUGCAAGUCGAACGGGACCGCAAGGUUCAGUGGCGGACGGGUGCGUAACACGUGAGGAACAUAGCCAACGGCGGGGGAUAGCCGGCCCAACGGCCGGGUAAUACCGCGUACGACCUUUGGGGGGCAUCCCCUGGGGGUGAAAGCAGCAAUGCGCCGAUGGGGUGCCUCGCGGCCUAUCAGCUAGUUGGUGAGGUAACGGCUCACCAAGGCUACGACGGGUAGCUGGUCCGAGAGGAUGACCAGCCACAUUGGGACU
Molecule: ribosomal RNA, 283 nt
Filed under: uncultured bacterium
Lineage: Bacteria
Description: partial 16S ribosomal RNA
Rfam family: Bacterial small subunit ribosomal RNA
Source: RNAcentral